This is a long non-coding RNA of Gadus morhua (Atlantic cod), 554 nucleotides long. RefSeq lists it as uncharacterized. The record is from RefSeq and is a predicted model, not a curated record. The transcript has 2 exons. Lineage: Eukaryota; Metazoa; Chordata; Actinopteri; Gadiformes; Gadidae.
CGCGGCCAAGAGCCUGGAGCGCGGCGAGCGGCUGGUCUGCCACGAGGAGCUGAGUGUGCAGGUUGGAAAUCAUCUUGUUGUUCACCAUCCAAACGAUAGGCUUCCUCUGUUUCAACUCCAGCACACACUCUUGGAUAUAUAACACCUUUAUGAUUCAAUGUGUCGUAAGUGGGGAUUAACAACUAUUCUGUGCAAAUGAGAGAGUGUCUUGUGUGUGUUUCCUUCUUUAUGUGGAAAGCAGCAGACUCCAGACACCAUUUCAAUCAAGGAUGAAGAGGAUAUUGGUGGAGGCAGUCCCGCUGUAGGAGACGGCAGUGACAUUAGAGACCGCAGCACGCAGCGCGGCGCCACCUCGGAGAGUCUGCGUGUGGACGCCCCUGGCUCCUCCCACAUGUCAAGUCACAGCGGGGAGCUGCGGAUCCUGAGCGUCUACGGACAAGAGGAGGGCCCACCGGCGAUGGUAGGCGGUGUAGCCUGCAUGUUCAAGAGAGAAAGAAAGCAAACAAUAACAAUACGUAAAAUUUAAAAGAAAAUAAAUGUCAUGAACUACACAA